AUACUUGGGACAUACUGUGAGGAUGUUAUUAGCCAAAUGUCAGAAUUAGCCAAAUGCUUUCACAUCUUCCUGCAAUCUAGUCUUGUGUUUAUGAGAAUCCUUUCUGAAUUCUCUUGACUCACAGUGGACCUUUUUUUCCCUUAGAAAUCAAGUGUAGUUUUCCAACCACUGUAUUAUCUAUUUCAUAGCUGGGGAAACUGCUGAACCUCAGCAAAAUAAAUUGGUGACAGAAGCAAGAACUAAAAAUGAGAUCUCUCUCUGGGCCUCAUAUGCUAUUACAGCAUACAUUGCCUUGAAAACAUUUUUGGUAGCAAUAAAAGUAAAAUGAUUUUGGUGAAAAUGAGUCUAUACUGGAAAAUCAGGUUGAAUUCCCUUUGUUUAUAAGUGUCCUUAGGGAUAUGACCAAGACAAAUUAUUUCCUAUACAGUGAGGAAGGAAACAGAAGUCUAACAUACACUAAUCAAAAUGCUAUCUUCUUAUGUACCAAAUUCCAAUAUUAGAAUAUUAAGACUUUAAUGCCAGUGGCACGACUAUCAUUUUGGUAUUGACUGAUUUGUUUAAUCAACCAAUCUUUAUUUGGUGUCUAUUAUGGGUUACAAACUAUGCGAUAUCCUAAAAAUAACUACAAAUUAAGGGCUUAAUGCUUAGGUAUUUACUUUUUAAAAAAAUGUUAAGUAUUUGCUUUUUUUCUUUUUUAAUAUCUGUGCAGAAGGAGCACUGGGCUGUGACUCAGGAGAUCUGGGUUGUUUUCCGGCGGAUACAUUAUUCCUUUCUCAAGUGCGGACAAUGACGUCUGCCCUUGCUCCCCUGGGAAGGCCCCCUGGCAGGGUGAGAUGGGUGCUGAAACUGAGUGGCAAGAAAGAGCCAGCCAAUUAAGAGCUUUCCAGGGAAUGGGAAGAAACAGUCAAAAGGUUGGUCAGACUAGUGAGCCAGGGGAGCAGAGAAAACACUUGGGAAUGGAGGCGCAGUGUGGAGGAAGAGCUUCCACAGCAAUGUUUAAGAAAGCAAACGAGUAAAGCAGGGACACAGUUUUAUCUUUAAAACCUCGAACACUGCUAGGCACACAGUGUAUGCUGGAUCAGGAUUUGCUGAAUGAAUGACUGAAUGAACUGAAGGGCAUAACCCAGAAUUAAUACAAUGUCACUGAUUUUUUAGAAGAAUCAUACCGUCUGUUGGGCAGAGAAUGGACUGAAGGGAGGUGGACAGGAAGGAAACAAGGGGACUGAGUAGGAGCCGUGCAAGAAUUUGGGCAGGAAAUGACGGCAGGCUGGCCUGGGGCGGUGGUUGCAGACAGGAUGACACUCGAUGCGUCGCAUACGAAGUGAUUAGUGGCAGAAAGGACUCCUGAGGAAUUCUUGGGUUUUGUCUUAAUCUCCUGGAAGAUGGCAGCGCUUCUGACAGAUGUAGCCAGUAUUGGGCUUGGGUGAGGUACCAAGCAGGGAGGGUUUAGGACUGACCCUGGAGGGCUGUGACUUUAAAAGGUGAGUGUAGAAGAGCCAGCCAGGGGAGUGUGCUGUGGAGGAGCCAGGAAUGGAGACGGUCUGAAGUUGAAGGUAGGCGUCAACCAUGACACACUCUGCAAGUGGUCAAGGUGAAAAGGAGGUGACCAGAUCUGGCAAUGUGGAGGUGACCGGUCACUGUGAGGACAGCAGGCCUGGUGGAGCGGUGGGGAUGCGAUCCCAACUGCAGGAGGCCAAGCAGAGGGUGGAAGGUGGCAAGCUGGAAAGAAUAACUCUAAAAAAUUCUUUGAAGGAGCUCUGCUAUGUAUGGGAAUAGAGCAAUUGGACUGUAGCUAAAUGGGAUGUGGGAUCAAGAGGGUGAUUGUUUCGGUGUGUUUUGUUUUUAAAGAUGAGGAAAUCAUGAAAUGCUUGCUAGGUGACCUAGUCGGAGAGUGGGGAGGAGGAACGGCUAGUACAGGAGAGAGAGGUAAGAAUUAACAGGAACAACAACCUAGUAAAGGUGAGGGGGUUAGACUCAGGGGAGAGGUGGCUCCUCAGCUGGGCAAAGAAAUUUAACCCACCAAGUCCGGAUGGAAGGCUGCCAAUGUGGGCACAGGCACAGGUGGGCUGGCACUUGGUGCAAAGGUGAGAGGGUUCUGGUUUCUUCUGUUUUCAACAGAGUGUGAAGCAAGGGUGUUGCAUGAGUAAGGGGAGGGAAGGAGUGUUGGGGGUUUAGAAAUAGAAAGCAUGGAAUCAUCAUUUACAGAGUGGGAGAAUAAAAUUGUAGGAAAUAUAGGAUUACUGGGCUGGGUUGAGAGUCCAUUUCAUAUGGUUGCGAGACUUUUGGUGGCAUGACACGUAGUCCCAUAUAUGGUGGGGGACAAGGUCAGUGUCAUAAGCUUGAGAGAGGAGGCAAAGGAAGAAGGAGAUGGUUCUCUCUUUAAGAUUUGUGAUGACUACAAGGAACAAUCAGCCAAAAGUCUGCGAGAAUCAAGCUUUACAGGCAAAAUGACCUUACGGAUACCAAUGACCCCAAAACGGAUUUUGGCCAUAGUUUUGGAGUGAGAGAUACACGUGAACCAGCAAACCAUCUCUCCAAGGAGGAUGAGGAAGAUGCUUCGGGUCGAUGAAGGGAAGGAGACAAAUGGAAAGCUAAUGAAACUGAGACUUGCAGGCGUCAUAUAACUCAGUCAAGGCCAAUACGUGGUGAAGCUGGGAUUCAAGCCCAGGCCUGUCUUACUCCAAAGCCAUCUCUUAAUCCCUUAAGCAAUCCUGCAUAGGGGAUACAUGUGCACUGUUCUAAAGACAUUCAGAUGAAUGUCUAAGAAGAUGACCACUCCAGAGCAUGGACAGAUUGAGGUGCAGAGCACACUAAAGCAUCUCGCAGCAGCACUACAUCUGGGACACGAGGUACAGGCUGGAUCUUCUCUAAAAUAAGCUAUCAGGUGCCACUUUACUCAAGCCUCUUCCUUAGCAAUAGCAAGUAUAUCGUACUUGGGAUUAACUCCGGCACAGAAGAGCCUAAAAAACUAAAUUGUGAUUUUGCUACUUGAGAAAUAUUUUAAAACGGAUGAUCUCAGGGUUUCACUAUUGCUUCUUGAAAUGUGAUACUGGAAGAAGACUUCUGAAAAGGGCCUAAACUCUGACAUAGACAUGAUGCACAUACACCAAGAAAAAGGUCAUACUUCUAAAACUGCUCGAAAAUUUCCAUGUGCCGCUCAGCAUUUCAUAGCAGAAGUACAUUCCCCCUCCCCCUCAAAUCCUCACACCCUUAUGGGAAUUUCCCCAAUAGCAGAAGUUUUAUAUAUUUUUCUUUAUUAUAUUUUCUAUGAUGACUAAUGGCCACAGGAUUUAAACUAUUAGCCAAAUAUGACGAGCUGAAUUAAAACAAGAGACUUGGGCUGUGAUGGCCAAAAGCUGCCCUAUACCUAUGCUCUUAUGAGGAUCCUCUGGUCUCUCCAAGUCCCAAAUCUGUGGCCUCUCUGAGAGCCGGCUUGUGUGAGUGUGCUUGGGUCUUAGGAGGGAACUUGCAUGUGCCUCGCCUUGUAUCCCUUCCAACAAUCCUCCCUUCAGAUAUCAGCACUUCCUUUCUAACCUGUAUGUGCUCAUCUUCUUAGACUUAUCAAUUUAACAGGUCCCUGGAAAUGCCACUUGAAACACUGCUGUACUGUCUUGGUUAACUGCUUUUUCUUGUGGUUGUAUGCUACUGAAUGCUAACUGGAUUAUUUAACCCUGAAAAAGAAUUCUGCUGUUCAUGGCUUUAUACCAAGAAGGUUGUACUGGUUCCUCUCAUACUGUAUAACAAGGCCAGUGGUUAUACCACAUCCUUGGUUACGUUGCAAGGAAUGAGAACAAAGGUGUCUCUGCUUGAAACCCUGAGGUUGUUACUUUCCUAAAGUGCUUGGUUUAAUUUUUAAACUGAAGUCUAAAACACAGCACUCAAGAGCUCUUCCACAGAAAAGGAUUUCUCUAUGUUGAUGCUAUUUUAGGAAGGUUUUAGAUAAGGCACUUGACUUGAAUGUGAAGGCUGCUGUCUCUUGUUAUUUUUAUAGGCUUUUGAGAUCAUUUUAGAAGUCUCAAUGAAAGGACUAAGAGAACUGUUUUAGAAAGAAGCCAGGUGGCUUUGCAAAUACAAUCUCAGUAAUAGCAAGAAUGGAAGGCAUGGUGUUUGGAAUGUUCCACUCCCACAUAUGGGCUGGAGCAGUCACAAAAGUCUGAAACAGUCAUAGACUGAUGACCAUCAGAAGAGGGAGCAGAGAAGAAACCAGUAACUGGGAAAUAAUGACCAGUCCCUCUUAAUCUUUCUGUUGUUGUUGCUGCCUUUAUUGGGCUUUUUCUUGAGUACACUGUCAUAAAUAUGCAGCUGGGAUAACAAUGCUUCAGGGAUUUGGUAGGACUCUUAACAAUUCUCCAAAUAUUACUUCAAUAAACAAAGCAAGGCUUUUCAAAAAGUACCAUUACCUACACACAUCUUAGUUUUCUUGCCCAGAGAGAUUCACUCUUAGAUGAGUCCUCCAGCUACUACAGAUUCCAACAGAUGACAGCAGCAGGAUGGAGCAGCAAAUUGUGCUACUUAACCUUAUUCACACAUUAUUUUUCUUCAUCAUUCCAGUUAGAGGACUCAAUAUAUUUGAACAAUUAUUUUUAUCUCUAGUCAGUAUGCAUUAUACGAUGCUCUUCUUCUUCCCCACCCAGGACAACCUAUCAUGCAAAAGUUC
RNAcentral lists this long non-coding RNA (4657 nucleotides) under Homo sapiens (human). RNAcentral describes it as "HSALNT0321166". Lineage: Eukaryota; Metazoa; Chordata; Mammalia; Primates; Hominidae. The record is from RNAcentral.